AGGAGUGGGAGGGUAGGAGAAGGCUCUGUGGUGAGGUCUCAGUCAUAAUCUCAUCAGUCUUCCCUAUUCCUCCCAUUCCU
This 80-nucleotide microRNA precursor is filed under the name Pinus taeda (loblolly pine). Its description in RNAcentral is "miR482c stem-loop (pta-MIR482c)". Its record names the gene pta-MIR482c. The record is from miRBase by way of RNAcentral. Lineage: Eukaryota; Viridiplantae; Streptophyta; Pinopsida; Pinales; Pinaceae.